This 346-nucleotide unclassified non-coding RNA is filed under the name soil metagenome. RNAcentral describes it as "partial contains 5.8S ribosomal RNA, internal transcribed spacer 2, and large subunit ribosomal RNA". The stretch from base 1 to 120 matches the Rfam family "5.8S ribosomal RNA", at positions 35 to 154 of the family's 154-position model. The record is from RNAcentral.
GAUGAAGAACGUAGUGAAAUGCGAUAAUUAAUGUGAAUUGCAGAAUUCAGUGAAUCAUCGAGUCUUUGAACGCACAUUGCGCCCCCUGGUAUUCCGGGGGGCAUGCCUGUCCGUGCGUCAUUGCUGCCCUCAAGCACGGCUUGUGUGUUGGGCUCCGUCCCUGGCAACGGGGACGGGCCCAAAAGGCAGUGGCGGCACCAUGUCUGGUCCUCGAGCGUAUGGGGCUUUGUCACCCGCUCCCGUAGGUCCAGCUGGCAGCUAGCCUCGCAACCAAUCUUUUUAACCAGGUUGACCUCGGAUCAGGUAGGGAUACCCGCUGAACUUAAGCAUAUCAAUAAGCGGAGGA